RNAcentral lists this ribosomal RNA (253 nucleotides) under uncultured bacterium. RNAcentral's name for it is "partial 16S ribosomal RNA". It matches the Rfam family "Bacterial small subunit ribosomal RNA", at positions 524 to 776 of the family's 1533-position model. The record is from RNAcentral.
UACGUAGGGUGCGAGCGUUAAUCGGAAUUACUGGGCGUAAAGCGUGCGCAGGCGGUUCUCCAAGUCCGUUGUGAAAGCCCCGGGCUCAACCUGGGAAUGGCAGUGGAAACUAGGGGACUGGAAUCUGGCAGAGGGGGGUGGAAUUCCGCGUGUAGCAGUGAAAUGCGUAGAGAUGCGGAGGAACACCGAUGGCGAAGGCAGCCCCCUGGGCUGACACUGACGCUCAGGCACGAAAGCGUGGGGAGCAAACAGG